Molecule: small RNA, 27 nt
Filed under: Bombyx mori (domestic silkworm)
Lineage: Eukaryota; Metazoa; Arthropoda; Insecta; Lepidoptera; Bombycidae
Description: ovarian small RNA-12250
Source: RNAcentral
AGUACCAAUGUUACUGCAGUCAGGAAA